Non-coding RNA from Stegodyphus mimosarum, 73 nucleotides. NCBI's taxonomy places the organism in Eukaryota, Metazoa, Arthropoda, Arachnida, Araneae, Eresidae. The record is from Rfam.
GCCUUCGUGGUGUAAUGGUGAGCCCACUGAGUCGGUAUUUCAGAGGUCCGUGGUUCGAUCCCCGGCGAAGGCA